AAGUCGUAACAAGGUUUCCGUAGGUGAACCUGCGGAAGGAUCAUUAACACGUAUCCAAACACGUUAAACCAAAACCUCGCGAUCCUUUUUUGCCCAUACUGGACGAGUGCAGAUGUAAGCUACCAAGGUAGAUUCAUAGGGUCGCAAGGCUCUUUGUCUGCUUGCAAUGCUGUAGGUUUCCUUCGAGAGGCCAACUUGCUCUGGUAUGGUGUAUCAAAAAGCUACCUUGGUUAUCAGUGCCACCCCGGUAUCGACCCGGAGCCUGGUAACCUUACUAAAACCCCAAACCUUUUUUAACCCCUUUCAUACCUUUUAUUGUACUGAUAUAUUCUUUGAGUAUGGUUGACGAAAGUCUAUAAACAUGCCUGCUCUGAAAUACGAAACAUACGAACAACUCUUAGCAACGGAUAUCUUGGUUCUC
RNAcentral lists this unclassified non-coding RNA (421 nucleotides) under fungal sp. RNAcentral describes it as "partial internal transcribed spacer region". The stretch from base 1 to 46 matches the Rfam family "Eukaryotic small subunit ribosomal RNA", at positions 1786 to 1831 of the family's 1831-position model. Lineage: Eukaryota; Fungi. The record is from RNAcentral.